UUAGGAAUCUUGCGCAAUGGGGGCAACCCUGACGCAGCGACACAGUGUGGAGGAGGAAGGUCUUCGGAUUGUAAACUCCUUUUAUGAGGGAAGAAUAGAUGACGGUACCUCAUGAAUAAGCACCUGCUAACUACGUGCCAGAAGCAUCGGUGAUGCGUAGGGUGCGAACGUUAUCCGGAUUUAUUGGGCGUAUAGAGAAGCGUAGGUGUUUUUGUAAGUCUUUAGUUAAAUACCACGGCUCAACCGUGGAGAAGCUUUGGAAACUACAGAAAUUGAGACAGGAAUGGGCGAAUGGAAUUCCCAGUGGAGCGGUGAAAUGCGUUGAUAUUGGGAGGAACAUCAGUGGCGAAGGCGAUUCGCUGGUCCUUGUCUGACACUAAGGCUCGAAAGCGUGGGGAGCGAAACGG
Molecule: ribosomal RNA, 407 nt
Filed under: uncultured bacterium
Lineage: Bacteria
Description: bacterial SSU rRNA
Rfam family: Bacterial small subunit ribosomal RNA
Source: RNAcentral